ACAGAGAUGUGGCCUGUCGCUUCACACCGGGCGUGUGAAGAGGAAAGUCCGGGCAACACAGAGCAUCACACUUUCGAAAUGAAAGGCAGCGGCGACGUUGGGAAAGAUGUGGAAGAGAAUGACCGCCCCGCAGCUGUAAAGGCUGCGGAGCAAGGGUGAGAAGGCGGGGUAAGAGCCCACCGCCUCCGACGGUGACGCCGGAGGGCGCACAUCCUGUGAGUUGCAAGACCGAAUAUACCGGCAGUCAAGGGUUGCUCGCCCAUUGCCGGGGGGUAGGUUGCUAAAGGCAGUCGGCAACGUCUGAUUUAGAUAAAUGACGGGCCCUGCUCCGCAAGGAACAGGACAUAACC
This 350-nucleotide RNase P RNA is filed under the name Muribaculaceae bacterium. RNAcentral describes it as "partial RNase P RNA component class A". It matches the Rfam family "Bacterial RNase P class A". Rfam says of the family: Ribonuclease P (RNase P) is a ubiquitous endoribonuclease, found in archaea, bacteria and eukarya as well as chloroplasts and mitochondria. Its best characterised activity is the generation of mature 5'-ends of tRNAs by cleaving the 5'-leader elements of precursor-tRNAs. The record is from RNAcentral. Lineage: Bacteria; Pseudomonadati; Bacteroidota; Bacteroidia; Bacteroidales; Muribaculaceae.